AUAAAGUUAUUGUGUCCAUCUACAAUUUUUAAAAUAAUAUUUAAAAAAUAAAUAAAAAAGAGCUGAGGAUGUAGUUCAGUGGUAGAGUGCCCCUGGGUUCAAUCCCCAGAACCUGUCUCAAAUUAAAAAUUAAAAAUGUAGGGCUGGGGAUGUGGCUCAAGCGAUAGCGCGUUCGCCUGGCAGGCGUGCAGCCGGGGUUCGAUCCUCAGCACCACAUACAAACAAAGAUGUUGUGUCUGCCGAAAACUAAAAUAAAUAUUAAAAAAUUCUCUCUCUCUCUCUCACACACUCUCACUUUCUAAAAAAAAAUAAAAUAAAAAUGUAGUUUAGUAGCCAUCCACACAAGAUUGUGGACCCUGGAUGGGUAAGGUGUCACAUAUCUCCUGUACUAUAUGCCAUCAUGCCCAACUGGUUGACUCACUUGUUGUAAACCCAGCUACAGGGGGAGGCACACGGAGGCAGGAGGAUCACAAAUUUAAGGCCAUCUUGGGCAAUUUACCAAGACCCCGUCUAAACAACCAACCAAACAAAAACACUAGGUCCCUGUCAUUUAGCCACUUGCCUUCCCAUAACUGGGCUCAUACUGUUUUGGUUCCUUUCUGCUAAGAAUGUCCUCCCAACUUUACUUUUUUGGAUCCUGUGUCUUUGAAUUGUCUUUUAAUCUUCAUCAUGUUACCGAAAGCUCAGUCCCUGUCCCUGAUGCUAAUCCAAUAACCAGGGCAUGGUUUUGAGAAAAAGAAAAAAGAAGUUUUACUGUUUUGCUAGCAAAGGAGAAACACUGGAGACUCCUGUCCAAGAGGCUGUGAUUUUGCCCAUAAGAAAAAAAUCAUAGGGCUUUUAAAGAAGCUAUUAAAAGGUUACAUUCCAGGUGUGCCUUGAUGGUGUGUUGAAAAUUCACUUGUUAAUUUAGGAGACAGUCACUUCCUAAUUCUUCUGGUGAUAUCUCCUUCCUGUGGAGAA
RNAcentral lists this long non-coding RNA (960 nucleotides) under Marmota monax (woodchuck). Lineage: Eukaryota; Metazoa; Chordata; Mammalia; Rodentia; Sciuridae. The record is from RNAcentral.